Molecule: ribosomal RNA, 253 nt
Filed under: uncultured bacterium
Lineage: Bacteria
Description: partial 16S ribosomal RNA
Rfam family: Bacterial small subunit ribosomal RNA
Source: RNAcentral
UACAGAGGGUGCGAGCGUUAAUCGGAAUUACUGGGCGUAAAGCGCACGUAGGUGGCGACGUAAGUCGGGUGUGAAAGCCCCGGGCUCAACCUGGGAAUUGCAUUCGAGACUGCAUUGCUGGAGUACGGAAGAGGAAGGCGGAAUUCCCGGUGUAGCGGUGAAAUGCAUUGAGAUCGGAAAGAACACCAACGGCGAAAGCACUCUGCUGGGCCGACACUGACACUGAGAGACGAAAGCUAGGGGAGCAAAUGGG